Camelus ferus (Wild Bactrian camel) is the source of this 72-nucleotide transfer RNA. It matches the Rfam family "tRNA". From Rfam's summary of the family: Transfer RNA (tRNA) molecules are approximately 80 nucleotides in length. NCBI's taxonomy places the organism in Eukaryota, Metazoa, Chordata, Mammalia, Artiodactyla, Camelidae. The record is from Rfam.
GAGGGUAUAGCUCAGGGGUAGAGCGGGUGCUCAGCAUGCACAAGGUCUUGGGUUCAAUCUCCAGUACCUCCA